CUACGGAGGGUGCAAGCGUUACUCGGAAUCACUGGGCGUAAAGCGCGCGCAGGCGGUUUGAUAAGUUGGAUGUGAAAUCCUAUGGCUCAACCAUAGAACUGCAUCCAAAACUGUCAAACUAGAGUCUGGGAGAGGAAGAUGGAAUUAGUUGUGUAGGGGUAAAAUCCGUAGAGAUAACUAGGAAUACCAAAAGCGAAGACGAUCUUCUGGAACAGUACUGACGCUGAGGCGCGAAAGCGUGGGGAGCAAACAGGAUUAGAAACCCGGGUAGUCC
RNAcentral lists this ribosomal RNA (274 nucleotides) under uncultured bacterium. RNAcentral describes it as "partial 16S ribosomal RNA". It matches the Rfam family "Bacterial small subunit ribosomal RNA", at positions 523 to 796 of the family's 1533-position model. The record is from RNAcentral.